UGUGAAAGUAAAAACGCGUGUCAUGUCUAUGUGGACCAAUAUAAAAGAGUCAUCCCCCCUUUGUGUGUCUCUUCGAGUUUCUAGUACUAAGUAGCACUUCUACUAUUCAAUCAUCUUCUCAUUGAAUGAACUCCAUGGCUUCACAAAUGAAGAUGUUACAAGGUAAAUGUUUGUGUGUAGGGGACCAAUAUAAAAGAGUCAUCCCCCCUUUGUGUGUCUCUUCGAGUUUCUAGUACUAAGUAGCACUUCUACUAUUCAAUCAUCUUCUCAUUGAAUGAACUCCAUGGCUUCACAAAUGAAGAUGUUACAAGGUAAAUGUUUGUGUGUAGG
This 330-nucleotide unclassified non-coding RNA is filed under the name Hevea brasiliensis (rubber tree). The record is from RNAcentral. Lineage: Eukaryota; Viridiplantae; Streptophyta; Magnoliopsida; Malpighiales; Euphorbiaceae.